AUGACGGGACCGGCAGGUGAUGGGAGAGGAAGCCCGAGGCAGGCGGCCGCGGCUCUCUCUCUUUCGGGCGUGGCGGCGGCGGCCGCGCCUUCUGUGGCGUUGGGGGAGGGGGGUUUGGGGCAGGCGGCCCUGACUCCUCCUUCCUCGCCGGCGGUCAGGAGGAGCGCAUCUCCUUCGAUUGUGGCGGCGCCCGCGCCUUCUGUGGCGUUGGGAGGGGUGUUUGGGGCAGGCGGCCCUGACUCCUCCUUCCUUGCCGGCGGUCAGGUGGACCGCUUCUCCUUCGGCUGUGGCGGCGCCCGCGCCUUUUGUGGCGUUGGAGGAGGGGGGUUUGGGGCAGGCGGCCCUGACUCCUCCUUCCUCGUCGGCGGUCAGGAGAUCCGAGCCUCCUCCCAGUGUACCUGUUGCUAUGGGUCUUGGAUUGGGCACUUGUCCGAGGGGUCUGGGAGCCCGCAGCCGCCUCCUCCGGUACCCUUGGUUGACCCUUCGCGGGUUUCAGCGCGAGGAGUUACUAGGGAGGAGGUCUUUGCUUUUGGCGGGAUCCCGGACCCGGCCUCGACGGGGAGGCGGAUGAGUGCUCGCAUUCAGGAGCUUCCAGAGGUUGAUGACAUGCAGCAGAGGUGCGCUAUGAGGGCGGCCAAGCUUCAUGAUGCUGCGAUCUCUACUGGUUAUUUUCCGAGCCACGGCCGUGAUCCGUUCAUGGUCGCUACUCACUCCGAUGGAGGCCAGGGAGCAUUUGGUUACUGGAUCUAUCCGCUGGGAGAUGGUAGCUCGGGAUAUCUUCAACCGGUUUAG
This 792-nucleotide ribosomal RNA is filed under the name Triticum aestivum (bread wheat). RNAcentral's name for it is "partial small subunit ribosomal RNA". The record is from RNAcentral. Lineage: Eukaryota; Viridiplantae; Streptophyta; Magnoliopsida; Poales; Poaceae.